GCUCAACCCCGAGCGGCCAUUGGAAACUGGGGAGCUUGAGUGCAGAAGAGGAGAGUGGAAUUCCACGUGUAGCGGUGAAAUGCGUAGAGAUGUGGAGGAACACCAGUGGCGAAGGCGACUCUCUGGUCUGUAACUGACGCUGAGGCGCGAAAGCGUGGGGAGCAAACAGGGUUAGAUACCCUGGUAAUCCACGCCGUAAACGGUGAGUGCUAGGUGUUAGGGGUUUCGAUGCCCGUAGUGCCGAAGUUAACACAUUAAGCACUCCGCCUGGGGAGUACGGCCGCAAGGCUGAAACUCAAAGGAAUUGACGGGGACCCGCACAAGCAGUGGAGCAUGUGGUUUAAUUCGAAGCAACGCGAAGAACCUUACCAGGUCUUGACAUCCUUUGACCACCCAAGAGAUUGGGCUUCCCCUUCGGGGGCAAAGUGACAGGUGGUGCAUGGUUGUCGUCAGCUCGUGUCGUGAGAUGUUGGGUUAAGUCCCGCAACGAGCGCAACCCUUGAUCUUAGUUGCCAGCAUUGAGUUGGUCACUCUAAGGUGACUGCCGGUGACAAACCGGAGGAAGGUGGGGAUGACGUCAAAUCAUCAUGCCCCUUAUGACCUGGGCUACACACGUGCUACAAUGGAUGGUACAAAG
Molecule: ribosomal RNA, 637 nt
Filed under: uncultured bacterium
Lineage: Bacteria
Description: bacterial SSU rRNA
Rfam family: Bacterial small subunit ribosomal RNA
Source: RNAcentral